RNAcentral lists this ribosomal RNA (512 nucleotides) under uncultured bacterium. RNAcentral's name for it is "partial 16S ribosomal RNA". It matches the Rfam family "Bacterial small subunit ribosomal RNA", at positions 28 to 523 of the family's 1533-position model. The record is from RNAcentral.
GACGAACGCUGGCGGCGUGCCUAAUACAUGCAAGUCGAGCGGAGAACUUGGAGCUUGCUCCAGGUUCUCAGCGGCGGACGGGUGAGUAACACGUGGGCAACCUGCCCUGCAGAUCGGGAUAACUCCGGGAAACCGGUGCUAAUACCGGAUAGUUUCGAGUCCCUCCUGGGACACGACGGAAAGACGGCGUCUCGCUGUCACUGCAGGAUGGGCCCGCGGCGCAUUAGCUAGUUGGUGAGGUAACGGCUCACCAAGGCGACGAUGCGUAGCCGACCUGAGAGGGUGAUCGGCCACACUGGGACUGAGACACGGCCCAGACUCCUACGGGAGGCAGCAGUAGGGAAUCUUCCGCAAUGGACGCAAGUCUGACGGAGCAACGCCGCGUGAGUGAAGAAGGUUUUCGGAUCGUAAAACUCUGUUGUGAGGGAAGAACAAGUGCCAAUUAACUACUGGCACCUUGACGGUACCUCACCAGAAAGCCACGGCUAACUACGUGCCAGCAGCCGCCGUAA